CCCACUGAGUCAACACUUUCAUCAGCCCCAGGGCUCUGCCAGGGAGCACGGUUCCUCUCGCCUGCUCCAGCUCUUACUCAUUUAAUUGUGAACAACAAAAGCAUGGACUUAGGGAGAGGAGAUCUCUGAGGAUUUAUACAAUGCUCCACCCACAACUGUUCUCGAUGAGUUUCUGCUGGACUUUGAAGAAUGCUGAUGUGAUAAUCGCGGAAAAGACCUCUGCUCCUGGAAACCACCUGUCACUGCACAUUCAUGGAGCUUCACCCUGACUCCAGAUCUACAGGACUACCAUGUAACACAAGGGGGCACUUAGAACAGUUCCCACCUCUUCACUGGUUACAUUCAAGGGCAACGUACUUGCAGGCCCCUGCAUCCGGACAUAUCUGGCCUGGGUGUAACCAAGCAGAUUUUCCUGCCCCCAGAGCCUGCAGGUUACUCCCCCUGCAGAGAAGACCACGAAGACAGGAGGCCUUCCC
Vicugna pacos (alpaca) is the source of this 476-nucleotide long non-coding RNA. RefSeq lists it as uncharacterized. The record is from RefSeq and is a predicted model, not a curated record. NCBI's taxonomy places the organism in Eukaryota, Metazoa, Chordata, Mammalia, Artiodactyla, Camelidae.